This 50-nucleotide transfer RNA is filed under the name Cloacimonas sp. (SeqCode). RNAcentral describes it as "tRNA-Ser". It matches the Rfam family "tRNA", at positions 26 to 71 of the family's 71-position model. Rfam says of the family: Transfer RNA (tRNA) molecules are approximately 80 nucleotides in length. Lineage: Bacteria; Pseudomonadati; Candidatus Cloacimonadota; Cloacimonadia (SeqCode); Cloacimonadales (SeqCode); Cloacimonadaceae (SeqCode). The record is from RNAcentral.
ACUGACUCUUAAUCAGUGGGUCCGGGGUUCGAGUCCCCGAAGAUGUACCA